This 216-nucleotide ribosomal RNA is filed under the name uncultured bacterium. RNAcentral describes it as "partial 16S ribosomal RNA". It matches the Rfam family "Bacterial small subunit ribosomal RNA", at positions 119 to 334 of the family's 1533-position model. The record is from RNAcentral.
GAGAAACCUGCCCCGGAGAUCGGGAUAGCCCAGGGAAACCUGGAUUAAUACCGAAUAUCCUCCUUCUGUCGCAUGGCGGAUGGAGGAAAUGGUCCGCUGCUCCGGGAUGGUCUCGCGACCUAUCAGCUUGUUGGUGAGGUAACGGCUCACCAAGGCAACGACGGGUAGCUGGUCUGAGAGGACGAUCAGCCACACUGGGACUGAGACACGGCCCAG